Molecule: ribosomal RNA, 459 nt
Filed under: uncultured bacterium
Lineage: Bacteria
Description: partial 16S ribosomal RNA
Rfam family: Bacterial small subunit ribosomal RNA
Source: RNAcentral
CCUACGGGAGGCAGCAGUGAGGAAUAUUGGUCAAUGGUCGGGAGACUGAACCAGCCAAGCCGCGUGAGGGAGGAAGGUACAGAGUAUCGUAAACCUCUUUUGUCAGGGAACAAAGGCGGGGACGUGUCCCCGGCUGAGUGUACCUGAAGAAAAAGCAUCGGCUAACUCCGUGCCAGCAGCCGCGGUAAUACGGAGGAUGCGAGCGUGCUCCGGAUUUAUUGGGUUUAAGGGGUGCGCAGGCGGUCUGUUAAGUCAGCGGUCAAAGCCCGGGGCUCAACCCCGGCCCGCCGUUGAAACUGGCAGUCUCGAGUUGGAGAGAAGUAUGCGGAAUGCGCGGUGUAGCGGUGAAAUGCAUAGAUAUCGCGCAGAACUCCGAUUGCGAAGGCAGCAUGCCGGCUCCACACUGACGCUGAGGCACGAAAGCGUGGGUAUCGAACAGGAUUAGAUACCCCUGUAGUC